GCAGGUAAAUCGGAGCGCAGUGUGUACGCCUACGGACGGGACUCUAACCCCCACUGCCACCAGUCCGGUCUCAGUGGGGACCUGGUUCUUGGGAGUCCGGGCUCGUCCUCCCCCUCCAAGAUCACCAGAGACGGACAGACCUCCAGCCAGCCCCCGAGCCAGCCGCCGAGCCAGUACUACCAGCACUGCAGCUCAAACCCCCGGAGAAGAACCCUACUCAUGGACCCCAUGGAUGGCCACACAAAAAAAGUCCGGAAAGUUCCCCCAGGCUUGCCUUCAUCGGUAAGUGGUUCUUUAUUUUUAAAACAUGUUUUAAAUGUGUUACAACAUGAUCUAAGCUUGUUUUAAAUGUG
Gadus chalcogrammus (walleye pollock) is the source of this 353-nucleotide long non-coding RNA. RefSeq lists it as uncharacterized. NCBI's taxonomy places the organism in Eukaryota, Metazoa, Chordata, Actinopteri, Gadiformes, Gadidae. The transcript has 3 exons. The record is from RefSeq and is a predicted model, not a curated record.